GUAGGUAAGGGAAGUCGGCAAAUUAGAUCCGUAACUUCGGGAUAAGGAUUGGCUCUGAAGACUGGGAUGGCUCGGGCUAUGCCCCGGCUUCGCGGCUGGGGUUUGCCUCAAUGCGGUCGUCCGGCGCCCUGGGUCGGCUGGUGCGGCACAUCCGUGCCGUGCCGGCUCCCGGGUGCCCGGGCCCGCUGCAGCCAUGCCAAACAGUCAAUUCAGAACUGGCACGGCUGAGGGAAUCCGACUGUCUAAUU
This 248-nucleotide ribosomal RNA is filed under the name Aedes echinus. RNAcentral's name for it is "partial large subunit ribosomal RNA". It matches the Rfam family "Eukaryotic large subunit ribosomal RNA", at positions 1900 to 2147 of the family's 3401-position model. The record is from RNAcentral. Lineage: Eukaryota; Metazoa; Arthropoda; Insecta; Diptera; Culicidae.